AUUGAACGCUGGCGGCAUGCCUAACACAUGCAAGUCGAACGAGUGGCGGACGGGUGAGUAAUGUCUGGGACCCUGCCAGAUGGCGGGGGAUACCUACUGGAAACGGUAGCUAAUCCCGCAUACCAUCAACUUUUCCCAUAUUGGAUUAGCUUGUUGGUGGGGUAACGGCUCACCAAGGCGACGAUCCAUAGCUGGUCUGAGAGGAUGACCAGCCACACUGGAACUGAGACACGGUCCAGACUCCUACGGGAGGCAGCAGUGGGGAAUAUUGCACAAUGGGCGAAAGCCUGAUACAGCCAUGCCGCGUGUAUGAUGAAGGUCUUCGGGUUGUAAAGCACUGUUAGCAGGGAAGCGUUACCUGAAGAAGAAGCACCGGCUAACUACGUGCCAGCAGCCGCGGUAAUAC
This 406-nucleotide ribosomal RNA is filed under the name uncultured bacterium. RNAcentral's name for it is "partial 16S ribosomal RNA". It matches the Rfam family "Bacterial small subunit ribosomal RNA", at positions 30 to 526 of the family's 1533-position model. The record is from RNAcentral.